GAGUUUAAACCCUGACUAGAUGGAAGGAUGGACCCUAUACUGGGGAAGAAAGGAAAAGCCCUAACGCUGUCAUCUGUGUGGUAUUUCUAGUUCUAGAUCCUUGAGGAAUCACCACACUGUCUUCCACAAUGGUUGAACUAAUUUACACUCCCACCAACAGUGUAAAAGCAUUCCUAUUUCUCCACAUCUUGUGGUAAAUAUUCUAGAGUAAGGAAAGAGAGAGAAAAUAAUGGGAGCUAUUUUAUUUAGACAGAAUGGCUAGACAAAGCUCCACUGGAGUAGUGAUGUUUACGCACAAGUCUAAAAGGAUAAUAGGCUUCAGGCAAGAGAGAGAGAAAGAUGAAAUAGAAGCAGUUUCAUAAAUCAUAGAACAAGAACUUAAAAAGAAUAUAUAAUAAGCAAGAAAGACAGAAGAUAAUUAGAAGAUUGAUACAAGAAGCCCAACAGCCAACUAAUUUGAUUUAAUACAAAUAUUCCAAAUUAAAAAACACAUUUAUCCCAUUGAAAAGGGACCACUAAGUGCCAAGCACAAUGAGUGAAGGAAGACACACAUAAUUUGAAAAUAACUUUGAGGAAAUAUAUUAAUACUUGAAGAAUAUUGAGAUAUCUAAAAAAAAGAAUGGUCAGAAUAAAGUGGAAUUGAGAUCAGAAGUAAACUGGAGACAAAUACAGGAAUAAUCAGAAAGCAAUAGAACUCUGGAAGCUGGAAAGCAUUGGGGUAAGGCAUAAAGAACUUAGCAGACUUG
Molecule: long non-coding RNA, 746 nt
Filed under: Pan troglodytes (chimpanzee)
Lineage: Eukaryota; Metazoa; Chordata; Mammalia; Primates; Hominidae
Description: long non-coding RNA NONPTRT005673
Source: RNAcentral